CCUACGGGUGGCAGCAGUGAGGAAUAUUGGUCAAUGGACGCAAGUCUGAACCAGCCAUGCCGCGUGCAGGAAGACGGCUCUAUGGGUUGUAAACUGCUUUUGCACGGGGGUAAACGCAGAUACGCGUAUCUGCCUGAAAGUAUCCUACGAAUAAGGAUCGGCUAACUCCGUGCCAGCAGCCGCGGUAAUACGGAGGAUUCGAGCGUUAUCCGGAUUUAUUGGGCUUAAAGGGAGCGUAGGCGGGCGUUCAAGUCAGCUGUAAAAUGGAGCGGCUCAACCGCGCCCCGCAGUUGAAACUGGACGCCUUGAGUGCACAACAGGCAGGCGGAAUGCGUGGUGUAGCGGUGAAAUGCAUAGAUAUCACGAGGAACCCCGAUUGCGAAGGCAGCCUGCCGGGGUGCGACUGACGCUGAGGCGCGAAGGUGCGGGUAUCAAACAGGAUUAGAUACCCUGGUAGUC
Molecule: ribosomal RNA, 459 nt
Filed under: uncultured bacterium
Lineage: Bacteria
Description: partial 16S ribosomal RNA
Rfam family: Bacterial small subunit ribosomal RNA
Source: RNAcentral